Molecule: long non-coding RNA, 823 nt
Filed under: Helianthus annuus (common sunflower)
Lineage: Eukaryota; Viridiplantae; Streptophyta; Magnoliopsida; Asterales; Asteraceae
Source: RNAcentral
UGUUUCAAUUUUUAAAAGGUUUCAUAACCUCUUUCUCCUUAUCUCCCGUUUACGCCUCUCUCUCUCUCUCUCUCUCUCUCGCUCAAUUUCAAAUUCACAAUCCCAAUCUCAAACGCUCAUUAUCAUGCCUUCUUCUUUUCAUUUGUAGAGAACGAGAUGCUAGAGUGAGGGAGACAACCGGUGGGUUCCGACCACCGGUUGCGGCAAUGGUUGAUGGCCUUUAGAGUGGCCAAAGAUGAAUAAGUCGGUAACAAUCGCAAACCUCGGCGGCGGCGGAUCUAGGGUAUUGCGAUGACCAGAGACAACUGUCGUUCCCGUUUUCUUCCACGUCAACGUUUAGUGACCGAAAAGGGGAUCUGCAAAAGGAUGAUGAGUGCAAUCCCAUGGUUCUAUCUGCAAAGCAGACAACAAAGUUGGACACCAGAAGGAUCUUGAAACAACUUGCAAGGAAAAUUUAAAGUAGCUUUAAAGGAUGGUUGCAUAUUAGCUCAUGCAAAUCCCAUGACCAUGCUUCAAACCAUAGUUCACCAGAAUAAACAAAGUAUGGAUACGAUUACACAAUCAACUAUCAAAAUGAUGGUCUAGGAAAUUGUCGAGUAUAUUCAUAUUAAGGGCCUGGUUGACAUGCGAGAUCUUGGGAUGCCAUCUAAAGCCCUUUCCGAUGAUAAACGCCAUAAAACACAAGAACUGUUUCAUAUGCCAGGAGGUACAACCCUUUUUAGUCAAUUUCUAUGUGAAAAGAUCAAAAUUGGGCCUACUGGUUGUGGAUGUUGGCCCUCCUGCUGAUUGGGUAAGAUCAAUGUGCAGAGAGUUGUAAGUUGGU